CUAGCAUAUCAAUAAGCGGAGGAAAAGAAACCAACCGGGAUUGCCUCAGUAACGGCGAGUGAAGCGGCAAGAGCUCAAAUUUGAAAGCUGGCCCCUCCGGGGUCCGCAUUGUAAUUUGCAGAGGAUGCUUCGGGCUCAGCCCCCGUCUAAGUGCCCUGGAACGGGCCGUCGGAGAGGGUGAGAAUCCCGUCUGGGACGGGGUGCCUGGGUCCAUGUGAAGCUCCUUCGACGAGUCGAGUUGUUUGGGAAUGCAGCUCUAAAUGGGUGGUAAAUUUCAUCUAAAGCUAAAUACUGGCCGGAGACCGAUAGCGCACAAGUAGAGUGAUCGAAAGAUGAAAAGCACUUUGAAAAGAGAGUUAAACAGCACGUGAAAUUGUUGAAAGGGAAGCGCUUGCGAUCAGACUCGCCUGCGGGGUUCAGCCGGCAUUCGUGCCGGUGUACUUCCCCGUGGGCGGGCCAGCGUCGGUUCGGGUGGCCGGUCAAAGGCCCCGGGAAUGUGUCGCCCUCCGGGGCGUCUUAUAGCCCGGGGUGCCAUGCGGCCUACCUGGACCGAGGAACGCGCUUCGGCUCGGACGCUGGCGUAAUGGUCGUAAGCGACCCGUCUUGAAACACGGACCAAGGAGUCUAACAUCUACGCGAGUGUUUGGGUGGCAAACCCAUACGCGCAGUGAAAGCGAACGGAGGUGGGAACCCUUCGGGGCGCACCAUCGACCGAUCCUGAUGUCUUCGGAUGGAUUUGAGUAAGAGCGUAGCUGUGGGGACCCGAAAGAUGGUGAACUAUGCCUGAAUAGGGCGAAGCCAGAGGAAACUCUGGUGGAGGCUCGCAGCGGUUCUGACGUGCAAAUCGAUCGUCAAAUUUGGGUAUAGGGGCGAAAGACUAAUCGAACCAUCUGGUAGCUGGUUCCUGCCGA
RNAcentral lists this ribosomal RNA (911 nucleotides) under Monascus ruber. Its description in RNAcentral is "LSU rRNA". It matches the Rfam family "Eukaryotic large subunit ribosomal RNA", at positions 34 to 964 of the family's 3401-position model. Lineage: Eukaryota; Fungi; Ascomycota; Eurotiomycetes; Eurotiales; Aspergillaceae. The record is from RNAcentral.